GCCGAAAGCCCAAGGUUUCCUGAGGAAGGCUCGUCCGCUCAGGGUAAGUCGGGACCUAAGGCGAGGCCGAAAGGCGUAGUCGAAGGACAACAGUUUGAAAUUACUGUACCACCGUAAUCCGCUAUGAGCGAUGGGGUGACGCAGGAGGGUAGUGACGCGGACUGAUGGAUGUCCGUCUAAGCAGUGAGGCUGGUGUGUAGGCAAAUCCGCACA
RNAcentral lists this ribosomal RNA (213 nucleotides) under Paenibacillus agri. RNAcentral's name for it is "Bacterial large subunit ribosomal RNA". It matches the Rfam family "Bacterial large subunit ribosomal RNA", at positions 1336 to 1548 of the family's 2925-position model. Lineage: Bacteria; Bacillati; Bacillota; Bacilli; Caryophanales; Paenibacillaceae. The record is from Rfam by way of RNAcentral.